Molecule: ribosomal RNA, 261 nt
Filed under: uncultured bacterium
Lineage: Bacteria
Description: partial 16S ribosomal RNA
Rfam family: Bacterial small subunit ribosomal RNA
Source: RNAcentral
GACAGAGGUGGCAAGCGUUGUUCGGAUUUAUUGGGUGUAAAGGGUCCGUAGGUGGUUAUGUAAGUCUGGCGUGAAAUCCCAUGGCUCAACCAUGGAACUGCGUUGGAAACUAUAUGACUUGAGUAUCGGAGAGGUAAGGGGAAUUCUCGGUGUAAGGGUGAAAUCUGUAGAUAUCGAGAGGAACACCAGUGGCGAAGGCGAGAUCCUGGACAGUAUCUGACACUGAUGCACGAAGGUCAGGGGAGCAAACGGGAUUAGAAA